UUUUUUUUUUGUCUUUUUUUUUCCAGCUGAAAGGUCUAUAUUACUGAACCAAUGAACGGGUAUAGAAGCAUAGUAACCAAGAAAAUAAUUUCCUUAGUAAGACUUGUCUAUGGCCAGGCAGGAAGGACGUUUCCGUGCUGACAGGACAGGAACCUGUGAUCCCCACGCAGCUUAGAUAUGUGGGCCGGUUGGCGGCCAUCUUGCGACGUGCGACGCCUCCUCACAGGCCCAGCUCGGUUCUCCUCCAGCGCCUCCUCUUGAAGUUGUGCCUGAUUUUAUUACCAGUUUUCAUCCGAAUCCACUGGGGAGUGGGACGAUUCUGCUUUUGUUUCUCGGCCAGGAAUCGCUUGAUUCUGAAAAUCUUGUGGGAAGACACGGCGAGGAACAGGCAACGGCACACCACCAAGAUGGCGGCGAAAACGAGAGAGGAGGAAACAGGCGGAAAUUAUGAGCUUCAUGAGGGCAGGGGUCUUGCCUGCUUUGAAUAAAGUAGUGAAUCUACUGUAUAUCCAAAAUUUAUUCAUCCACCAUGCCUGAGACAUAGUUCUCCCUUCUCAACAGGAUCUUAAACUUCUGCAAGAUGAUACAGCGUUUCUUCCUUCUUCCCAAGGCUCUUCUGGAUCAUAUCUGAACUGAGUCUAAGAGGGCAGGCAAGGUCUCAGCACCCAGGCUCAACAUCCUGGAUUCCUACAUUCACAGCAGCUUGUGUAUUCAGAAGUUCAGCUUGAACCAAGAUCUGAAGAAUGAGGCAAAAAAGUGGCAGAAGAAGAUUCCAAGAAGGGGGCAUAGCAGGUGCAAAGACACUGAAGCUAAAGAAACACAUUGUCACUCCUCACUUAUCUAUUCAUUCCACGCUUGUAGGAUUCCCACUAGUCCAGGCACCAUGAUAGGUGCUGAGGUUACCAUGGCUGGUAUCUCCAAAGGACUAGUAGCCAAGAUCUAUAAAGAACUUAUCAAACUCAACACCCAAAACAACAAACAAUCCAGUCAUGAAAUGGGUAGAGGACAUGAAUAGACAUUUCCCCAAAAAAGAUAUGCAAAUGGCCAACAGACACGUGAAGAAAUUUUCAACGUCACUCAACAUCACGGAAAUACAAAUCAAAACCACAAUGAGAUGCCACCUCAUACCUGUCAGAAUGGUGAAAAUUAACAACACAGGAAAUGACAGAUGUUGAGGAUGCAGAGAAAGGGGAGCCCUCCUACGCUGUCGGUGGGAACACAAGCCCUCUGGAGAACAGUAUUGAGUCAUAAGAGCUGGGUUGGUCACUGCAAUGAGAAGGGUGCCCCAUGCACUAGGGGCAGAUGAGGUGUUGGCUGCAGUGAAGGUGAAGGACGUGCUGGUGCGGAGCUUGUGAACUUGUCUGAGGAAUAAGCGACAUCCACCAAAGUUGCUUGGGUCUCCAAGCAACAAAUCCUACCACCACUUAUGAAUAGUUCACGAGCAAGAGUUAGGAGAAGCAGCAAAAUGUCAAGGUUAAGUGAACAGACACUGAUUCUAUACUGUGUGAGAAUCCAGAGGAGGAGUGCAAGGCCCUAGAGGAUGGCAAAGCCUCACUAUGAAAAGAAUCUGGAUUGGUGAACAAAUUAACAAAACAGUUCUUUCCACCCUAAAGUGAGGAAAACAUAAACUUCUAUUGUGAGGGAGAGAGAGACAGACACCCAGCGGGCAGCCGGAAGCAGGUUCAGUCUCUCAACCCUGAGAUCAUGACCUGAGCUGAAAUCAAAAGCUGGAUGCUCAACUGACUGAGCCACCCAGGAGACCCAUGAGAUAACAUUUCUUGUUUCAUGUACUGUCCAUACAUUUCUUCUACUUACUUUAAAUUUUGAGCCUUUGGCUUUUUACAAAUUUUUCUUAAUUUAUAGGGGCUCUUUAAUAUUCAAAAAAUUAGUGUUAAUUAGUAACUACUUAGAGAGAUCGUGCUUUGUGACAAUGAGUUGCAAACAUAUUCAAUUGCUGAAGCACACAGUAGGUGUUCAGUAUAUGAACCUCACAUUUGCUCCUGAUUACUCUCUCUCUCCCCUCCAAUGAUUUCAAUAGGUUAUGGAGCUUGAACAUUAACUGUUGGGCCAAAGCUGACACCAGUCAGUGGUAGAGUCUGGAAAGAGAGUUUUCUGUUUGAUUCCUGUGCACUUCCUCAUAAUAAAUCGCCACCAGCAUCCUGUUUAUCAUAGAAUCUGAAGACUGGGAAUCCUUUGAGUCUGAACUGUCAUCUAAUAUAGGAAUCUCCCAUUGUUUGCAAACCAAAAAUCAGCAUGUUUGACCUAACCAAAGAUUUGGUUUUCCUUGGGGUGAUGUGUUGAACAGGGACACAAAAUCAAAUUAUAUUUCACUAUGAAUUUAACAAAUCACCUUUAGUUCAAAUUACAACAUGAAUCAGUAUGGCCCAAGAUAUCUUGGACAAAUGGUCCCUAUAAUUCAUGCACUGGGGAGAAGCACUGGGUAUGACAAGGAAAUCAAUACUAUUUUAACUUCUCUAUUUGGAAAUUCUCUCUUCCCCUGAGCGAGAAACUGCCUCUCCUUAACUUCCUCUCAUUAAUACUGGUGUCAUUCUUUGGAGUUAUGCAGAGAAACCUUAACACACUUCUGGCAAAACCCUUUAUGAAUCUGGGGACAGAGAUUAUAUUCCUUCCCAAAAUUCUGGUCCAGCAGUGACAGUCUUUCUAGUAAACUUUCCUAACAGUGAUUUGAAGAUUGGACACUGUCCUGGACAACACUUUGGACACUUUGUUUGUCAGAGACCCUAAUAAAA
Canis lupus familiaris (dog) is the source of this 2750-nucleotide long non-coding RNA. RefSeq lists it as uncharacterized. NCBI's taxonomy places the organism in Eukaryota, Metazoa, Chordata, Mammalia, Carnivora, Canidae. The transcript is spliced from 9 exons. The record is from RefSeq and is a predicted model, not a curated record.